GACGAACGCUGGCGGCGUGCCUAACACAUGCAAGUCGAGCGAUGAAGCUCCUUCGGGAGUGGAAUAGCGGCGGACGGGUGAGUAACACGUGGGUAACCUGCCUCAUAGAGGGGAAUAGCCUUCCGAAAGGGAGAUUAAUACCGCAUAACAUAACUUUAUCGCAUGGUAGAGUUAUCAAAGGAGUAAUCCGCUAUGAGAUGGACCCGCGGCGCAUUAGCUGGUUGGUGAGGUAACGGCUCACCAAGGCGACGAUGCGUAGCCGACCUGAGAGGGUGAUCGGCCACAUUGGAACUGAGAAACGGUCCAGACUCCUACGGGAGGCAGCAGUGGGGAAUAUUGCGCAAUGGGGGAAACCCUGACGCAGCAACGCCGCGUGAGUGAAGAAGGCCUUAGGGUUGUAAAGCUCUGUCAUAUGGGAAGAUAAUGACGGUACCAUAAGAGGAAGCCACGGCUAACUACGUGCCAGCCGCCGCGGUAA
This 478-nucleotide ribosomal RNA is filed under the name uncultured bacterium. Its description in RNAcentral is "partial 16S ribosomal RNA". It matches the Rfam family "Bacterial small subunit ribosomal RNA", at positions 28 to 523 of the family's 1533-position model. The record is from RNAcentral.